RNAcentral lists this ribosomal RNA (427 nucleotides) under uncultured bacterium. RNAcentral's name for it is "partial 16S ribosomal RNA". It matches the Rfam family "Bacterial small subunit ribosomal RNA", at positions 355 to 774 of the family's 1533-position model. The record is from RNAcentral.
UGGGGAAUAUUGCACAAUGGGCGCAAGCCUGAUGCAGCCAUGUCGCGUGUAUGAAGAAGGCCUUCGGGUUGUAAAGUACUUUCAGCGGGGAGGAAGGUGUUGAGGCUAAUAACCUCAGCAAUUGACGUUACCCGCAGAAGAAGCACCGGCUAACUCCGUGCCAGCAGCCGCGGUAAUACGGAGGGUGCAAGCGUUAAUCGGAAUUACUGGGCGUAAAGCGCACGCAGGCGGUCUGUCAAGUCGGAUGUGAAAUCCCCGGGCUCAACCUGGGAACUGCAUUCGAAACUGGCAGGCUAGAGUCUUGUAGAGGGGGGUAGAAUUCCAGGUGUAGCGGUGAAAUGCGUAGAGAUCUGGAGGAAUACCGGUGGCGAAGGCGGCCCCCUGGACAAAGACUGACGCUCAGGUGCGAAAGCGUGGGGAGCAAACA